AUUGAACGCUGGCGGCAUGCCUUACACAUGCAAGUCGAACGGUAACAGGUCUUCGGAUGCUGACGAGUGGCGAACGGGUGAGUAAUACAUCGGAACGUGCCUAGUAGUGGGGGAUAACUACUCGAAAGAGUGGCUAAUACCGCAUGAGAUCCACGGAUGAAAGCAGGGGAUCGCAAGGCCUUGUGCUACUAGAGCGGCCGAUGGCAGAUUAGGUAGUUGGUGGGAUAAAAGCUUACCAAGCCGACGAUCUGUAGCUGGUCUGAGAGGCCGAUCAGCCACACUGGGAGUGACAGACGGCCCAGACGCCGGCGGGAGGCAGCAGUGGGGAAGUUAGCAAAAGGGGCGCAAGCCAGAUCCAGCAAAGCCGCGUGGAGGCUAGAGGCGUUCAGGUUGGAGAUUGCUUUUGUACGGACCGAAAAGCCCCGGGUUAAUACCCUGAGGUCAUGACGGUACCGUAAGAAUAAGCACCGGCUAACUACGUGCCAGCCGCCGCCGUAA
Molecule: ribosomal RNA, 498 nt
Filed under: uncultured bacterium
Lineage: Bacteria
Description: partial 16S ribosomal RNA
Rfam family: Bacterial small subunit ribosomal RNA
Source: RNAcentral